GACGAACGCUGGCGGCGUGCCUAAUACAUGCAAGUCGAACGCAGUGGGGACGGGUGAGUAACACGUGGGUAACCUCCCAUCAGAGGGGAUAAACCUUGGAAACAGGUGCUAAACCGAUACUGAUGGAUGAACCCGCGGUGCAUUAGCUCGUUGGGGAGGUAACGGCUCACCAAGGCCACGAUGCUUAGCCGGCCUGAGAGGGUGAUCGGCCACACUGGGACUGAGACACGGCCCAGACGCCUACGGGAGGCAGCAGUAGGGAAUCUUCGGCAAUGGGCGAAAGUCUGACCGAGCAACGCCGCGUGAGUGAAGAAGGUUUUCGGAUCGUAAAACUCUGUUGUUGGAGAGGCGUUAUCUAACCAGAAAGCAACGGCUAACUACGUGCCAGCAGCCGCGGUAAUAC
RNAcentral lists this ribosomal RNA (403 nucleotides) under uncultured bacterium. Its description in RNAcentral is "partial 16S ribosomal RNA". It matches the Rfam family "Bacterial small subunit ribosomal RNA", at positions 28 to 526 of the family's 1533-position model. The record is from RNAcentral.